UACGAAGGGGGGCUAGCGUUGCUCGGAAUCACUGGGCGUAAAGCGCACGUAGGCGGAUUCUUAAGUCAGGGGUGAAAUCCCGGAGCUCAACUCCGGAACUGCCUUUGAUACUGAGGAUCUCGAGUUCGGGAGAGGUGAGUGGAACUGCGAGUGUAGAGGUGAAAUUCGUAGAUAUUCGCAAGAACACCAGUGGCGAAGGCGGCUCACUGGCCCGAUACUGACGCUGAGGUGCGAAAGCGUGGGGAGCAAACAGG
Molecule: ribosomal RNA, 254 nt
Filed under: uncultured bacterium
Lineage: Bacteria
Description: partial 16S ribosomal RNA
Rfam family: Bacterial small subunit ribosomal RNA
Source: RNAcentral